This 521-nucleotide ribosomal RNA is filed under the name Bifidobacterium longum subsp. infantis. RNAcentral's name for it is "bacterial SSU rRNA". It matches the Rfam family "Bacterial small subunit ribosomal RNA", at positions 160 to 696 of the family's 1533-position model. The record is from RNAcentral. Lineage: Bacteria; Bacillati; Actinomycetota; Actinomycetes; Bifidobacteriales; Bifidobacteriaceae.
GUGGUAAUGCCGGAUGUUCCAGUUGAUCGCAUGGUCUUCUGGGAAAGCUUUCGCGGUAUGGGAUGGGGUCGCGUCCUAUCAGCUUGACGGCGGGGUAACGGCCCACCGUGGCUUCGACGGGUAGCCGGCCUGAGAGGGCGACCGGCCACAUUGGGACUGAGAUACGGCCCAGACUCCUACGGGAGGCAGCAGUGGGGAAUAUUGCACAAUGGGCGCAAGCCUGAUGCAGCGACGCCGCGUGAGGGAUGGAGGCCUUCGGGUUGUAAACCUCUUUUAUCGGGGAGCAAGCGUGAGUGAGUUUACCCGUUGAAUAAGCACCGGCUAACUACGUGCCAGCAGCCGCGGUAAUACGUAGGGUGCAAGCGUUAUCCGGAAUUAUUGGGCGUAAAGGGCUCGUAGGCGGUUCGUCGCGUCCGGUGUGAAAGUCCAUCGCUUAACGGUGGAUCCGCGCCGGGUACGGGCGGGCUUGAGUGCGGUAGGGGAGACUGGAAUUCCCGGUGUAACGGUGGAAUGUGUAGAUA